UACGACUACAUAUCAGGCAUAUCAAUAAGCGGAGGAAAAGAAACUAACUAGGAUUCCCUUAGUAACGGUGAGUGAAGCGGGAAGAGCUCAAAUUUGAAAUCUUAAAGGUUUUACCUUGACGAAUUGUAGUUUAAAGAAGUGUUUUCUGCUAGUGGAGUUCGGUAAAAGUUCUUUGGAAUAGGACAUCAUAGAGGGUGAGAAUCCCGUAUUUGGUCAUUCCUCCUAGCGUUGUGAUACACUUUCAACGAGUCGGAUUGUUUGGGAAUGCAGUCCAAAAUGGGUGGUAAAUUUCAUCUAAAGCUAAAUAUUGGCGAGAGACCGAUAGCGAACAAGUACCGUGAGGGAAAGAUGAAAAGAACUUUGAAAAGAGAGUUAAACAGUACGUGAAAUUGUCAAAAGGGAAGCGUUUGACACCAGUGUUGUUUUUCCGAAAAUCAAUUACGAAUGUUUUGUUUUUGAGGAGUUAUGACUUCAUCGGCUUGCUCCUUUCUUUACGAAACUUUCUUAAUGCACUUUUCGGUUAACAAGUCAACAUCAAUUUCUUUUGUUGUAAAAGGGUAUGAGGAAGGUGGCUUUCUUUUCGGAGAAAGUGUUUAUAGCCUUGUAGCCUCUGCAAUCGGAGAGAUUGAGGUCUGCAGCGUAGAUCCUUCAGGGGUUAGAUACAUUUGUGCUAAGUUAUAGCUUUUACAUAGACAACAUUGUUGACUAUGAUUUAAGUCAUUGUAGCUUACUCGCUUAUGCUAUUUUACCUACGCUUAGGAUGUUGAACGCGCACAGAGUCUC
Molecule: ribosomal RNA, 783 nt
Filed under: uncultured Neocallimastigales
Lineage: Eukaryota; Fungi; Neocallimastigomycota; Neocallimastigomycetes; Neocallimastigales
Description: partial large subunit ribosomal RNA
Rfam family: Eukaryotic large subunit ribosomal RNA
Source: RNAcentral